UUUUUUAACAACGUGUAGCCAAAACUUACAAUUAAAAUGAUUACUUGGAGAAGACCGCCUUUUCCUUGAGAAAAUGUAUUUAUGUGUUGUUUUAAUACGUUUUUAACAUUAUCACACUAAUCGAUACAGAAGAAACAUUGAAAUCAUAAAUCACUUGCGACAUUACCAUCGAAAAAUGAAGAUCGCUGUUGUUCUUGCUCUUUUUGCCAUGGUUUACAUGGCUGGCACAAAUGCCCAGUGCGUUGAUGGAUUGGGUAAUAUUAUCCCUGAAGGAGGUCAAGUAAGUGCUUUUGGCAAUCUAUGCAACAGAUGCUCCCUUGGGUCGAUGACACUUGGCGGAUGUAAAAGAUCAAUUAACGGACGAAAUUAUAACUAUAACAACAUGUGGUAACUUUGCCAUGUAAUAUGACAUUUAAAUAAAAAGAAACCUUGUACAUAUACAAAAUUA
Hydractinia symbiolongicarpus is the source of this 448-nucleotide long non-coding RNA. RefSeq lists it as uncharacterized. NCBI's taxonomy places the organism in Eukaryota, Metazoa, Cnidaria, Hydrozoa, Anthoathecata, Hydractiniidae. The transcript is spliced from 3 exons. The record is from RefSeq and is a predicted model, not a curated record.